AUGAUCAUUUUUACUGUGCUGCUGCUCUCAGCUCUUAAAGGUAAAGUUUUCAGAGUUUUUGAAAAAGCUGAAGACGUCAUCACUCCAGACAGAGACAUUGUUUUUGCUGUUGAAGGUCAAAAUGUUACACUUUCCUGUAACUACAGUGGAACUGAAUACGGUGUUCACUGGUAUCGACAGUAUUCAGAUUCACCUCCACAGUUCCUCAUACUGGACAAUUCUGGGAGUGAUCCUCUUCCUCCUCGUAUGUCUGCUGAAGUGGAUAAAGACAAAAAGCGUGUGGAUCUGUUGAUCUCCUCUGCUGCAGUAUCAGACUCUACACUCUACUACUGUGCCUUGAGGUCCACAGUGACAGGAAACCCAGCAACACUGUACAAGAACCUGUGUGGAUGUGACAAUUCAACUCAGGUUACACCUAGUAUACAGACUGUGUGA
Colossoma macropomum (tambaqui) is the source of this 435-nucleotide non-coding RNA. Lineage: Eukaryota; Metazoa; Chordata; Actinopteri; Characiformes; Serrasalmidae. The record is from the annotation of a RefSeq genome assembly.